GACGAACGCUGGCGGCGUGCCUAAUACAUGCAAGUCGAACGAGAGCGACCGGUGCUUGCACUGGUCAAUCUAGUGGCGAACGGGUGAGUAACACGUGGGUAACCUGCCCAUCAGAGGGGGAUAACAUUCGGAAACGGAUGCUAAAACCGCAUAGGUCUUCGAACCGCAUGGUUUGAAGAGGAAAAGAGGCGCAAGCUUCUGCUGAUGGAUGGACCCGCGGUGCAUUAGCUAGUUGGUGAGGUAACGGCUCACCAAGGCCGUGAUGCAUAGCCGACCUGAGAGGGUGAUCGGCCACAUUGGGACUGAGACACGGCCCAAACUCCUACGGGAGGCAGCAGUAGGGAAUCUUCCGCAAUGGACGCAAGUCUGACGGAGCAACGCCGCGUGAGUGAAGAAGGUUUUCGGAUCGUAAAACUCUGUUGUUAGAGAAGAACAAGUGCUAGAGUAACUGUUAGCGCCUUGACGGUAUCUAACCAGAAAGCCACGGCUAACUACGUGCCAGCAGCCGCGGUAAUACGUAGGUGGCAAGCGUUGUCCGGAUUUAUUGGGCGUAAAGCGAGCGCAGGCGGUUCCUUAAGUCUGAUGUGAAAGCCCCCGGCUCAACCGGGGAGGGUCAUUGGAAACUGGGGAACUUGAGUGCAGAAGAGGAGAGUGUAAUUCCAUGUGUAGCGGUGAAAUGCGUAGAUAUAUGGAGGAACACCAGUGGCGUAUGCGACUCUCUGGUCUGUAACUGACGCUGAGGUUCGAAAGCGUUGUGUAGCAAACAUGG
Molecule: ribosomal RNA, 769 nt
Filed under: uncultured Granulicatella sp.
Lineage: Bacteria; Bacillati; Bacillota; Bacilli; Lactobacillales; Carnobacteriaceae
Description: bacterial SSU rRNA
Rfam family: Bacterial small subunit ribosomal RNA
Source: RNAcentral